UGGUGACCUUCCCUGGCCAUCCUGAAGGCUGCUUGCCGUGACAGCGGGGACCAGGUCACGCGGCUGGGCGGCAGCCUGCUGGGAAGGUCCCCAGACGCCCUUCCUCCCCGCUCUGUCGUGUCUCAGGAAGUUCUGAAGAGCAGGUUCCUGUUUUCUGAGAACACUCCUGUUUUCCGGGUGAGCUGCGGUUCUCGGCCUUAGAGGACUUCACAGCUCAGCCAUGAAAGCUUUUUUCCAGGGGCCUCAUAUCUAAACAAGGCUUUCACAGAGGUUUUCAGAAGAUGCUGUACACAUGUGAUCCUAAUGAUUCUAAUGAUAACAACCCACCUGCACCAGUUAGCAAUGACGUUUGGUGGAGAAAUCAGAGGAGGGCAAGCUGGAGCUCCGUGUGGCAGUCCUCCAAAUCAUGAGGAACCCAGGUUAUGCCUAGACUUCCGCUCUACCGUCUUCAUGCUCCUGCUUACACUGGCCGCUGCAGUGCCAAACAUCACACCCAUGUUCUAGACAAGAAGGAGGAAGCACAAACAGCAAAAGAAACACACUGCCUGAGGUGUCCUUAUAAGAGGAGGAAAUGAGGACACAGACACACACGGAGGGACAACCACGUGAGGACACAGGGAGAAGAUGGCCAUCUACGAGCCCAGGAGAGAGGCCUCAGGAGAAACCAGCCCUGCCGACACCUCGAUCUGAGACUUCCAGCCUCCGGAACUGUGAGAAAUAGACAUUGCGUAAGCUGCGCGGUCUGUGGGAUCUGUUACAGCAGCCCUAGCAGACUAAAUGUAUGUUCUUUCACAGAAGCAACCAAGAACGAUCCAGCCUAUACAGGAAAGAAAGAGAAAAACGUGCGGUUGACUAAAGAGUUAACUUAAGUGUAAUUUCUCACACAUCAAGCUGCCAUUCGCGCACGGUGGAGUUCUGUAACUAGCAUUUAACUCUCCUCGCCAGUAAUUGGAGCUGGCUGGGGCAAACGCCUGUGUCUUAGUUCGGCUCAGAUGCAUCGAUCCUCUCCUUCUGUCUGGUCCUUCUUUGAUUCCAGAUUUUCCUUACCGGUCGCAGAGAGCCUUUCAUCUCAUCACCCGGCAUUCUUCAAGCUCCGUGUUUAAGUGUGGGUUUCCAUCAGCUACCUUUCUAGAUGCUGGUGAAAGCAGGACCUGCGCAACGUCGAAAUGCCCAAUGCUUCCCUUCCCUCGAGGGCUGUGAGGAUUUGAUGGAUUAAAGUCUGUGUGAAGAAUGUUACUGGCAACUGCUGCCCCCUCCACUUCCGCUAACUGUCCUGAGGACUCCCUCCAAUAGGGCCGAUCGAUGCUCAGCUGAGGCCCUUCACGGUCAUAAGCUGAGAGCCCAUCAUAUGCCAGAGACUGUUUGGCUCUAGGGAUAGAAAAAUUCAGAGGUGAAUAAGAUCCAGCCCCUUCCCUCCAGGAGCUCAGAGUCUAGUCAUGUCAACAAAUACGUUGCAUAAAGUAUAUGAUAAAAGGUACAG
RNAcentral lists this long non-coding RNA (1480 nucleotides) under Equus caballus (horse). Its description in RNAcentral is "lncRNA (ENSECAG00000043415.2)". The record is from RNAcentral. Lineage: Eukaryota; Metazoa; Chordata; Mammalia; Perissodactyla; Equidae.